AGAGUUUGAUCCUGGCUCAGGAUGAACGCUGACAGAAUGCUUAACACAUGCAAGUCGACUCGAGUCUUCGGACUUGGGUGGCGCACGGGUGAGUAACGCGUAAAGAACUUGCCUCUUAGACUGGGACAACAUCUGGAAACGGAUGCUAAUACCGGAUAUUAUGGUUUCUUCGCAUGGAGGAAUCAUGAAAGCUAGAUGCGCUAAGAGAGAGCUUUGCGUCCCAUUAGCUGGUUGGUGAGGUAACGGCCCACCAAGGCAAUGAUGGGUAGCCGGCCUGAGAGGGUGAACGGCCACAAGGGGACUGAGACACGGCCCUUACUCCUACGGGAGGCAGCAGUGGGGAAUAUUGGACAAUGGACCACAAGUCUGAUCCAGCAAUUCUGUGUGCACGAUGACGUUUUUCGGAAUGUAAAGUGCUUUCAGUCGGGAAGAAGUCAGUGACGGUACCGACAGAAGAAGCGACGGCUAAAUACGUGCCAGCAGCCGCGGUAAUACGUAUGUCGCAAGCGUUAUCCGGAUUUAUUGGGCGUAAAGCGCGUCUAGGCGGCAAGGAAAGUCUGAUGUGAAAAUGCGGAGCUCAACUCCGUAUGGCGUUGGAAACUGCCUUACUAGAGUACUGGAGAGGUAGGCGGAACUACAAGUGUAGAGGUGAAAUUCGUAGAUAUUUGUAGGAAUGCCGAUGGGGAAGCCAGCCUACUGGACAGAUACUGACGCUAAAGCGCGAAAGCGUGGGUAGCAAACAGGAUUAGAUACCCUGGUAGUCCACGCUGUAAACGAUGAUUACUAGGUGUUGGGGGUCAAACCUCAGCGCCCAAGCUAACGCGAUAAGUAAUCCGCCUGGGGGAGUACGUACGCAAGUAUGAAACUUAAAGGAAUUGACGG
This 882-nucleotide ribosomal RNA is filed under the name uncultured bacterium. Its description in RNAcentral is "bacterial SSU rRNA". It matches the Rfam family "Bacterial small subunit ribosomal RNA", at positions 8 to 916 of the family's 1533-position model. The record is from RNAcentral.